ACAACUGAAUUAGGCGGGGUUCCAGCGAAGCCGGUGUAAGUCCGGCAGUGUCCCGCAACCGUGACGGACAAAAGGUCCGAACUCGGGUCGCCUGGAGCAUCCGCACGCGGCCUACACGCCUUCGCGAGAAAGGGGUGCGCCAG
Molecule: small RNA, 143 nt
Filed under: Chloroflexota bacterium
Lineage: Bacteria; Bacillati; Chloroflexota
Source: RNAcentral